UACGAGAGACCCGAACGUUAUUCGGAAUUACUGGGCUUACAGAGUUCGUAGGCGGCUCAGAAAGUUGGGUGUGAAAUCCCUCGGCUCAGCCGAGGAAUUGCGCUCAAAACUACUGAGCUUGAGGGGUAUAGAGGUAAGCGGAACUGAUGGUGGAGCGGUGAAAUGCGUUGAUAUCAUCAGGAACACCGGUGGCGAAGGCGGCUUACUGGGUACCUCCUGACGCUGAGGAACGAAAGCGUGGGGAGCGAACAGG
This 253-nucleotide ribosomal RNA is filed under the name uncultured bacterium. RNAcentral describes it as "partial 16S ribosomal RNA". It matches the Rfam family "Bacterial small subunit ribosomal RNA", at positions 524 to 776 of the family's 1533-position model. The record is from RNAcentral.